This 23-nucleotide non-coding RNA is filed under the name Arabidopsis thaliana (thale cress). Lineage: Eukaryota; Viridiplantae; Streptophyta; Magnoliopsida; Brassicales; Brassicaceae. The record is from RNAcentral.
GGCAAUUUGGAGUGAAUAUGUCU